Molecule: ribosomal RNA, 253 nt
Filed under: uncultured bacterium
Lineage: Bacteria
Description: partial 16S ribosomal RNA
Rfam family: Bacterial small subunit ribosomal RNA
Source: RNAcentral
UACGUAGGGUGCGAGCGUUAAUCGGAAUUACUGGGCGUAAAGCGUGCGCAGGCGGUUUUGUAAGACAGGCGUGAAAUCCCCGAGCUCAACUUGGGAAUUGCGCUUGUGACUGCAAGGCUAGAGUGUGUCAGAGGGGGGUAGAAUUCCACGUGUAGCAGUGAAAUGCGUAGAGAUGUGGAGGAAUACCGAUGGCGAAGGCAGCCCCCUGGGAUAACACUGACGCUCAUGCACGAAAGCGUGGGGAGCAAACAGG